This 1047-nucleotide long non-coding RNA is filed under the name Sinocyclocheilus anshuiensis. RNAcentral's name for it is "lncRNA (ENSSANG00000028115.1)". The record is from RNAcentral. Lineage: Eukaryota; Metazoa; Chordata; Actinopteri; Cypriniformes; Cyprinidae.
CCCGCCUGUUCGGUGUUCGCACUGCAGCCAUGAUGCUGCCUGUUCCACAGUCAUUUACUCCAUGAUGGCAACCUUCGCUAUCGCAUUGCUGUGUGUGUUGCUCAGUUGAAUUUGGAGGCAGCUGAUGGAGAAAAUGUUACCAUAUCCUUCAAAACGGCUGGACUGGAGAGAGCCGAUCAAGUGAAGAUAACUUUGACAAGAGGAAGUCAGAAAUAUCUGAUUGCGCAGUACUGUCGCUGUGCUCAUUGUGGGGACUGUGAUGCCGUGGAAACACCGGGAGUCUUACUGCGAGUUGAAGAAGGAACCUUAACUCUUCUACGUGUCAGCUCCAAUAACUCAGGCCUCUAUGAAGUAAAAAUCAUUGGAAAUAAUGUGUCUGGGAUAAAUGCUACACUUGUUGUCAACAAACCUCUAUUGUCCUCCAGUAUAGAGCCAACACAAUCCUCCAUCUCAAAACCUCCAGAAUCCUCUGAACGCCAAAGGCUAUAUGUAUUAUUUGCUCCAGUUGUAUUCAUCUUUGUGGUCUUGGGGGUUUGUUUCUUCUGUAAAUACAAGAAGGAAUGUAAGUCAACAGCUGAUGUUGAAGCAGCAUGAUGAACCCCUGCUGUCUACAGAUUCAGUAUCUUCAAAAACAACUAUUGAAAACACUGAAGAUCAGCUGGUGGAGUUUUAAAACUGAUCCAGGUAUUCAGAAUGACAUCUGAUGGCACAGAUAGUUUGAUGAAAACGUCUCGCGCAUUGUGCUGUAUGGUUUGCACUUCCUCGUGCUGUAAAAUGCUUUAGCUACAGGCCUAUAUGUCAGUUUUUAAGAAACACAAUCUCUCCCAAGCAAUACUGUAAACUAUACAGGGAACCCUUAUUUAGUACACUAAUACUGAAAUUAACAACAGAGCCCAAACUAUUAUAUUCAACUGCUGUUUAUUUUAAGAUCUACUAAUUACACUCCAAAAAAAAGUCAGUUAAAACAGUUGUAUACAAAGAAAUUAAUUUGCACAUAAAAACUUUAUUUAGAUUUAAAUAUACAUUAAUAACCAUCAAUAAGCUCCU